This 2860-nucleotide ribosomal RNA is filed under the name Klebsiella pneumoniae. Its description in RNAcentral is "bacterial LSU rRNA". It matches the Rfam family "Bacterial large subunit ribosomal RNA". Lineage: Bacteria; Pseudomonadati; Pseudomonadota; Gammaproteobacteria; Enterobacterales; Enterobacteriaceae. The record is from RNAcentral.
GGGUUGUGAGGUUAAGCGACUAAGCGUACACGGUGGAUGCCCUGGCAGUCAGAGGCGAUGAAGGACGUGCUAAUCUGCGAAAAGCGUCGGUAAGGUGAUAUGAACCGUUAUAACCGGCGAUGUCCGAAUGGGGAAACCCAGUGCAAUUCGUUGCACUAUCGUUAACUGAAUACAUAGGUUAACGAGGCGAACCGGGGGAACUGAAACAUCUAAGUACCCCGAGGAAAAGAAAUCAACCGAGAUUCCCCCAGUAGCGGCGAGCGAACGGGGAGCAGCCCAGAGUCUGAAUCAGCUUGUGUGUUAGUGGAACGGUCUGGAAAGUCCGACGGUACAGGGUGAUAGUCCCGUACACCAAAAUGCACAGGUUGUGAACUCGAAGAGUAGGGCGGGACACGUGGUAUCCUGUCUGAAUAUGGGGGGACCAUCCUCCAAGGCUAAAUACUCCUGACUGACCGAUAGUGAACCAGUACCGUGAGGGAAAGGCGAAAAGAACCCCGGCGAGGGGAGUGAAAAAGAACCUGAAACCGUGUACGUACAAGCAGUGGGAGCACCUUCGGGUGUGACUGCGUACCUUUUGUAUAAUGGGUCAGCGACUUAUAUUCUGUAGCAAGGUUAACCGUAUAGGGGAGCCGCAGGGAAACCGAGUCUUAACUGGGCGUUAAGUUGCAGGGUAUAGACCCGAAACCCGGUGAUCUAGCCAUGGGCAGGUUGAAGGUUGGGUAACACUAACUGGAGGACCGAACCGACUAAUGUUGAAAAAUUAGCGGAUGACUUGUGGCUGGGGGUGAAAGGCCAAUCAAACCGGGAGAUAGCUGGUUCUCCCCGAAAGCUAUUUAGGUAGCGCCUCGUGAACUCAUCUUCGGGGGUAGAGCACUGUUUCGGCUAGGGGGUCAUCCCGACUUACCAACCCGAUGCAAACUACGAAUACCGAAGAAUGUUAUCACGGGAGACACACGGCGGGUGCUAACGUCCGUCGUGAAGAGGGAAACAACCCAGACCGCCAGCUAAGGUCCCAAAGUCAUGGUUAAGUGGGAAACGAUGUGGGAAGGCACAGACAGCCAGGAUGUUGGCUUAGAAGCAGCCAUCAUUUAAAGAAAGCGUAAUAGCUCACUGGUCGAGUCGGCCUGCGCGGAAGAUGUAACGGGGCUAAACCAUGCACCGAAGCUGCGGCAGCGACACUAUGUGUUGUUGGGUAGGGGAGCGUUCUGUAAGCCUGCGAAGGUGUGCUGUGAGGCAUGCUGGAGGUAUCAGAAGUGCGAAUGCUGACAUAAGUAACGAUAAAGCGGGUGAAAAGCCCGCUCGCCGGAAGACCAAGGGUUCCUGUCCAACGUUAAUCGGGGCAGGGUGAGUCGACCCCUAAGGCGAGGCCGAAAGGCGUAGUCGAUGGGAAACAGGUUAAUAUUCCUGUACUUGGUGUUACUGCGAAGGGGGGACGGAGAAGGCUAUGUUAGCCGGGCGACGGUUGUCCCGGUUUAAGCAUGUAGGCUGAUUGUCCAGGCAAAUCCGGAUAAUCAAGGCUGAGGUGUGAUGACGAGGCACUACGGUGCUGAAGUAACAAAUGCCCUGCUUCCAGGAAAAGCCUCUAAGCAUCAGGUAACAUCAAAUCGUACCCCAAACCGACACAGGUGGUCAGGUAGAGAAUACCAAGGCGCUUGAGAGAACUCGGGUGAAGGAACUAGGCAAAAUGGUGCCGUAACUUCGGGAGAAGGCACGCUGGUGUGUAGGUGAAGUCCCUGCGGAUGGAGCUGAGACCAGUCGAAGAUACCAGCUGGCUGCAACUGUUUAUUAAAAACACAGCACUGUGCAAACACGAAAGUGGACGUAUACGGUGUGACGCCUGCCCGGUGCCGGAAGGUUAAUUGAUGGGGUUAUCCGUAAGGAGAAGCUCUUGAUCGAAGCCCCGGUAAACGGCGGCCGUAACUAUAACGGUCCUAAGGUAGCGAAAUUCCUUGUCGGGUAAGUUCCGACCUGCACGAAUGGCGUAAUGAUGGCCAGGCUGUCUCCACCCGAGACUCAGUGAAAUUGAACUCGCUGUGAAGAUGCAGUGUACCCGCGGCAAGACGGAAAGACCCCGUGAACCUUUACUAUAGCUUGACACUGAACAUUGAGCCUUGAUGUGUAGGAUAGGUGGGAGGCUUUGAAGCGUGGACGCCAGUCUGCGUGGAGCCAACCUUGAAAUACCACCCUUUAAUGUUUGAUGUUCUAACGUUGGCCCCUGACCGGGGUUGCGGACAGUGUCUGGUGGGUAGUUUGACUGGGGCGGUCUCCUCCCAAAGCGUAACGGAGGAGCACGAAGGUUAGCUAAUCCUGGUCGGACAUCAGGAGGUUAGUGCAAUGGCAUAAGCUAGCUUGACUGCGAGCGUGACGGCGCGAGCAGGUGCGAAAGCAGGUCAUAGUGAUCCGGUGGUUCUGAAUGGAAGGGCCAUCGCUCAACGGAUAAAAGGUACUCCGGGGAUAACAGGCUGAUACCGCCCAAGAGUUCAUAUCGACGGCGGUGUUUGGCACCUCGAUGUCGGCUCAUCACAUCCUGGGGCUGAAGUAGGUCCCAAGGGUAUGGCUGUUCGCCAUUUAAAGUGGUACGCGAGCUGGGUUUAGAACGUCGUGAGACAGUUCGGUCCCUAUCUGCCGUGGGCGCUGGAGAAUUGAGGGGGGCUGCUCCUAGUACGAGAGGACCGGAGUGGACGCAUCACUGGUGUUCGGGUUGUCAUGCCAAUGGCACUGCCCGGUAGCUAAAUGCGGAAGAGAUAAGUGCUGAAAGCAUCUAAGCACGAAACUUGCCCCGAGAUGAGUUCUCCCUGAGACUUCAAGUCUCCUGAAGGAACGUUAAAGACGAUGACGUUGAUAGGCCGGGUGUGUAAGC